RNAcentral lists this ribosomal RNA (253 nucleotides) under uncultured bacterium. Its description in RNAcentral is "partial 16S ribosomal RNA". It matches the Rfam family "Bacterial small subunit ribosomal RNA", at positions 524 to 776 of the family's 1533-position model. The record is from RNAcentral.
UACAGGGGGCGCAAACGUUGCUCGGAAUUAUUGGGCGUAAAGCGCGCGUAGGCGGCCACUUAAGUCGGAUGUGAAAGCCCCUGGCUCAACUGGGGAAGUGCACCCGAAACUGAAUGGCUUGAAUGCAAAAGAGGGUCGCGGAAUUCCCGGUGUAGAGGUGAAAUUCGUAGAUAUCGGGAGGAACACCGGUGGCGAAGGCGGCGACCUGGGUUGACAUUGACGCUGAGGCGCGAAAGCGUGGGGAGCAAACAGG